GCGUCGGCCCCACAUCCCAGGGACCAGCGAGCAGCCUUGAGAGGCCUUGGCGCUCGCCUCUUCGGCGGCCCGAGGGUGCCAUGGCCGAGUGCCCGUUACGUGGGGAGGAAGUCACCGACCACCCGGACCGCCUGUGGGCCUGGGACAAGUUCGUGUAUUUGGACGAGAAGCAGCGCGCCUGGCUGCCCUUAACCAUUGAGGUACAGCCAGCUCUGGAGCGGAUGGCGAGGCAGCAGGGGCAGCCCCCGGGAGUUUGGGAUGCCCUAGGAAGGAUAGAGGAUAGGUUACGGGUGCUCUUGCGUCAGGAAGACAUCCUCCUGGGGAAUCCUAUGACCCCCAGCCAGAUAGGCCCAAGCUUGCUGCCUAUCUUGUGGCAGCUCUACCCUGAUGGACGAUACCGAUCCUCAGACUCCAGUUUCUGGCGCUUAGUGUACCACAUCAAGGCGAGUGUGUUCCUCCCAGGGAUCUAUCGGGUGAUCUUGGGUUUCCCCUCCUCCGUGUCUGGCCUUAGUGGUUUAUCUUCCCUCCAUCCCAGUCCCAAAAGCAUCAAAAAUUGGGGGAAAUGUACAACUGAGGAUUUCUAAAGGACUUUCCCAGAGAGAAGAUAGAUCCUCUGAGAUUGAUGGCGUGGAGGACAUGCUUCUCGAGCUGCUGCCAGAUGACUGACUGUGGCACGGUCUCGCAGCACCUGUCUCCUUUCGCCCCAGGGCCUGAGCCUGGCCAGCCUACAGCGAGGAUGUUCUGUUUCUGUUCACCUUCGUUUACGAUGCCCGUGUCUUCUCCUCCACCACGCUGGGGUCUGGGAGGGAAUGGACAGAGGAUGAGCUCUCCCCAGGGCCUGCUGGACCUGCCCGUAGCCCACUCUGCUCCCCUCAGCACUACCGCUCCUGCCAGGGAGGACUCCAUUUGGCAGAGCUGCUUCCAGGUGCCCACCUUGACCUGUGCCUCAGCUUUUCUCAGCUGGCUGAUGGUUUUCAGCCUCUUUCCGCCCCUGCUGUCCCUCACAGCACUACUGUUUCGUGUUGCACACUCACUCAGCUCCGUGAACUUGUGAGAACACAGCCGAUUCACCUGAGCAGGGCCUCUGAGACCCUGGACCAGUGGUCUCACAUGGUGCUUUGCCUGCAAACCCUGCCUGAACACAGGUUCAGGUGCAGCUCAAGAAAAGCCCUGAAAGGAGCGUUUGUCUGCGCUCAGGACUCAGAAGCCUUUGCGUCACUGGUCCACAGCCCGGGACGCAGCAGAAGGCCAGGCCGUCGAGCCCUGUGGACGAACCGUCAGAACCCUUGGCUUGCCCACGUGGAAAAGGGAUAGAGGUUGGGUUUCCCCCCUUUUAUAGAUGGUCACACACCUGGGUGUUAGAUGAGGUUGUAUGUGUCAUGAAUACUUUUUGUAAUGAUUGAUUAAAUGCAACAUAGUUUAUCUAA
This is an RNA transcript of Piliocolobus tephrosceles (Ugandan red Colobus), 1427 nucleotides long. It is a transcript of the gene named TCL1 family AKT coactivator A, with no coding region annotated. The transcript is spliced from 4 exons. Lineage: Eukaryota; Metazoa; Chordata; Mammalia; Primates; Cercopithecidae. The record is from RefSeq and is a predicted model, not a curated record.